AUCAAGUGCACACUAGCAUCAUGGCUGACUAUAGCGAGUUCAUUCUUACUGAAAUAGACAAAGUCGGCGAAAUCGAUACACUUUCUUUCGCCAGAAAGAUUAAUGUCGAUCACCAAAAAAUAGUUGGUGCUGUGAAAAGUUUGCAGACUCAUUCGGAUGUUAUUGAAGUUAAACAGGUUCAAGGGACUAGUCUACAACUGACAGAGGAAGGAGCACGGGUUGCAGAAAAUGGGAGCUAUGAGGCUCUUGUCUUUAAGGCAGUACCAGAAAAUGGAAUUACUCAAGCAGAAUUAAUGAAAUCUGUGCCAAAUGCUAAAAUAGGAGUUGGCAAGGCCAUUCAAGCGGGAUGGAUUGAAAUUGACAAAAGUACAGGUAGUGAACCUAGAGUACUUCGAAAAGUUGACUGUAUUGAGGAUAACGUGCAGCAGUGUCUCCUGAAGAUAAAAGACCUUGCCUUGGAUGGAGUGACAGAUGCUACCAAAGCAGAAUAUAAAAAGCGGAAACUCAUAGUGGAAGUAAAAGAAACAAGCUUCAAAGUGAGAAAGGGACCCAAUUUUAGUCUCACUGUUGCCAAACCAGAAGUUGACCUGACACCACAAAUGAUACAAAAUGGUACCUGGAAGACAAAGCAGUUCAAGCCAUACAACUUUGAUGCCAUGGGUGUUGCGCCAGAAUGUGGCCAUUUGCAUCCAUUACUCAAAGUCCGAACUCAGUACCGACAGAUUUUCUUGGAGAUGGGCUUUGCAGAAAUGCCAACAAACAACUUCAUUGAAAGUAGUUUCUGGAAUUUUGAUGCAUUGUUUGUUCCACAAAAACAUCCAGCACGGGAUGCGCAAGAUACCUUCUUCAUAUCAGAUCCCCAAAAUGCCAGUGCUUUCCCAAUGGAAUAUCUUGAAAAAGUUAGAAAAGUUCAUGCAGAGGGAGACUUUUGCUCUAGAGGAUAUAUGUACGAUUGGAAGAUGGAAGAAGCAGAAAAAAAUGUACUGCGCACUCACACAACAGCUGUUAGUGCAAGGAUGUUGUACAAAUUAGCUCAACAGAGACCUUUCAAGCCUGUCAAGUAUUUCUCUAUAGACCGUGUUUUCCGAAAUGAGAAUCUUGACGCAACACAUCUUGCAGAGUUUCACCAAAUAGAGGGGGUUGUUGCAGACUAUGGCCUCACACUGGGCAAUUUGAUGGGUGUUAUCAAUGAAUUCUUCAAGAAGUUAGGAAUUACAAAAUUGCGUUUCAAGCCUGCAUACAAUCCUUAUACUGAACCCAGCAUGGAGAUUUUCAGCUUUCAUGAAGGUCUAAAUAAAUGGGUUGAAGUAGGCAAUUCUGGAAUGUUCCGACCAGAAAUGUUGCUUCCCAUGGGUCUUCCAGAAGAUGUCUCUGUCAUUGCAUGGGGAUUGUCAUUGGAAAGACCCACCAUGAUCAAAUACAAGAUCAACAAUAUAAGAGACUUGAUUGGCCCAAAAGUGAACCUUCAGAUGGUCUAUGAUAAUCCAAUCUGCAGACUAGACAAAUAAUGAUUUUAGGGAUGUUAACAAAUUUUAAUUUAGCUAGUAAAGAAUUUCAGUUUUCUUCCAUUCUGAGUUUCACACCAUAUGAGCAUAUAAAAAAAUAAACUGGACUUCAAAUAAUAAAAAUUUAUCUAAAAUACUAAAGGAUGAAAUUUUGUGAAUAGAGUUGGUAUGCAGUGUUUUUGAUAAUAUGCCAAGUGAAAGCAGAUUUAAUAAUAAUAAUAAAUGGGAACUUAUAAAGCGCAAUAUCUCAGCCAAAGGCAGACUCAUUGCACUGAACAAGAUCACAAUAUAUUAACAAAGACGUAGAACAAAGUAGUAACAAAGACGUAAAAUGAAGAACAAUGCGAAGACUCGCUGCGUUCUGGCAGUAAAGGGCGAUCACUGUAGAUUUAACAGUAAGAACUCCAGAGAAUAAGGUUAGUGACAUCAGGAGAAUACUGGGAAGACAUUGAGUAAUCUUGAGAAUAUGAAGAAAUAUUAUCAGAUGAAACUGCAAGGUGAUCAUCCCUUGAGUUUAUUAAGUGCAGCUCAAGGUCUUUGCCGAAGUGAGUGAUGCAUGGUGGAGUGGAAUCCAGCCAAUAAACUCAAACAGUUUGCAUCUCAAAAUAACAUUAUAUACAGUCCUGUUGCAAACCAGAAGAGUAAGAAAACGCAGCAGAAGCACAUGUGAACAUGAAAGUCCAACACUUUUAUCCAAAUGAAGCACGACCACAAAACGAAAUCAAGGAGAGCCAAUCCCCUCAGGUGAAGGGACAGAACUCUCAUCCCAUUUGUAUGGUACAGUUUGUGUACCUAUAUUUCAGUUGCUCCAGGUUCUAUGAAAAACUCUGUGAAGACCAGCCUGCUUGACAGCUGUGCUACUGUUGAAGAAAAUUGAACCAUCCUUCACAAUCAGGAGGUGGUGGCUGGGGUAAGCCCUUGCAUUGAAAAUGGAAAUCAGAGAAAUUCCAGUUUAAAGAUUCAAAAUGAAUAUAUUUUGUAUCAGAUCAUUUUUGAAAAAUAUAUUUCAGUGUUUAUAUGCUACACUUAACAUCCUACUAUGUAAUUGAAGUCUGUCCUAGUAUGCCAGGACUAUAAAUUUCACCCUAACAGCUUUCUUGCUCGGAAACCAUUAGCUUUGUUUGUGUUCUUUUGUUUUCUCAGUAUCUAGGUUUCAAGUAAUGCCUUAUUAUCUGCUUGCCUGCAUUAGAUUAAGAACUGUUUUACGUACAAUUCAUGCAAACUCAGUUAUUUGUUUUAAUGGUUUGUUGUUUAUCACAGUAUUAUUUGUACGGUGGCACAAUGGUUAGCACCUGUCUCUAAUAUAGUGAAUGAAGGUUGGCUGUCUUGGGUUCAGCUCUUGUCUCGGACACACUGCUUCCCCACCUCAAUACAGAGUUGGAAUUCAGAGCCACUGUUAUUAAAUAAAUGAUUUUGUAACCCAACAUUCUAAGCAUAAAAUAAAAAUUUGCCAUUUCCUAUACUUUUUACUCAAACCUCUAGAUUUGUUUAAGAUUUAGUUGCUGGUUUUUCACAAAUUGUGCACCGUUCACGGGCUUGUUUUGUCUUUUCAGUGUGGAAAAAUAUUUUAUGAAAGAGUUUGUUGGGAGGAUUGUAUCUGUAUUAAAUAUUUGCAUUCAAAAGUCAACAGAAUUAUUACUAUGAUUAUUGUAAUGCAGAAUAUUUGAUAAAUAAAUUAUACAAGAUUUAUAA
This 3197-nucleotide unclassified non-coding RNA is filed under the name Pomacea canaliculata. Its description in RNAcentral is "phenylalanine--tRNA ligase alpha subunit-like, transcript variant X1". Lineage: Eukaryota; Metazoa; Mollusca; Gastropoda; Architaenioglossa; Ampullariidae. The record is from RNAcentral.